CACGGCGCACGGGUGCGUAACACGUGGGCAAUCUGCCCUCCGAUGGGGAAUAACCCCGCGAAAGCGGGGCUAAUUCCGCAUAACAUUCCCUUCGGCAAAGCCGCGUCGGUGGAGGAGCCCGCGCCCGAUUAGCUAGUUGGUGAGGUAAUGGCUCACCAAGGCAAUGAUCGGUAGCUGGUCUGAGAGGAUGGCCAGCCACACUGGAACUGAGACACGGUCCAGACUCCUACGGGAGGCAGCAGUGGGGAAUCUUGCGCAAUGGGCGAAAGCCUGACGCAGCGACGCCGCGUGGGGGAUGAAGCUUCUCGGAGUGUAAACCCCUUUCGACUGGGACGAAUGACGGUACCAG
RNAcentral lists this ribosomal RNA (349 nucleotides) under uncultured soil bacterium. Its description in RNAcentral is "bacterial SSU rRNA". It matches the Rfam family "Bacterial small subunit ribosomal RNA", at positions 94 to 481 of the family's 1533-position model. The record is from RNAcentral.